CAUCCAUAUAUUAGCUGUCGCUAGCCACUAGGUAGAUGAUAACAACCAUCCACCGCAGGAGGGUCUAAAAGAUAUAACAACGUCUUCUUCUGGCUCGGGAAAAUAAAGGAGAAUAUCAAGUUAGAAGUACAUGUCUAUCAUUAAUUUUGCAACAGGAAUCUAUAAAAACCCAAUGACAAUAUAACAAAUUGUAUAAAAAAGUUCAAGAAAAAAAGAAAAAAAGAAAAAAGCCCGUGAUCACACAUCCAUGGAUGUAUGUCGCAUUACAAAACCAAAACCCACUUGGUUAGUUCCUCACCCGCC
Molecule: small RNA, 303 nt
Filed under: Histoplasma capsulatum var. duboisii H88
Lineage: Eukaryota; Fungi; Ascomycota; Eurotiomycetes; Onygenales; Ajellomycetaceae
Description: Histoplasma capsulatum H88 hypothetical RNA
Source: RNAcentral